UACGUAGGGUGCAAGCGUUAAUCGGAAUUACUGGGCGUAAAGCGUGCGCAGGCGGUUUUGUAAGUUUGUCGUGAAAUCCCCGGGCUUAACCUGGGAAUUGCGAUGAAGACUGCAAGGCUAGAAUCUGGCAGAGGGGGGUAGAAUUCCACGUGUAGCAGUGAAAUGCGUAGAGAUGUGGAGGAACACCGAUGGCGAAGGCAGCCCCCUGGGCUAACACUGACGCUCAUGCACGAAAGCGUGGGGAGCAAACAGG
This 253-nucleotide ribosomal RNA is filed under the name uncultured bacterium. RNAcentral describes it as "partial 16S ribosomal RNA". It matches the Rfam family "Bacterial small subunit ribosomal RNA", at positions 524 to 776 of the family's 1533-position model. The record is from RNAcentral.